Non-coding RNA from Vicugna pacos (alpaca), 72 nucleotides. The record is from the annotation of a RefSeq genome assembly. Lineage: Eukaryota; Metazoa; Chordata; Mammalia; Artiodactyla; Camelidae.
GAGGGUGUAUCUCAGUGGUAGAGUACAUGCUUUACACGCAUGAGGUCCUGGGUUUAAUCCCCAGUACCUCCG